AGAAAAUAUCCACAAUGAAAUUUCUACAAGAUUAGAGGAAGGAGAGAGGCAACGGGGAUUCCAUUUCUACUAGGAGUAUCAACCUCUGAGAGAAAAAUAUCCAUCUCUGUGGAUGUCAUCUGCUCUGCAGAAAACCCUUUCCUGGAACUCCCAGGAACUGCUGUACUGAAGCUCCUGCACAUCUGUGAAGUGUGGAAGCUGUGGGUGAAAACAGUAAAUACUUCCAGUUGCCCGUGUGUGUCACUUAACCGAGGAAUCCUGGGAAAGUAAAAGUUGUCACCACAAAAUAGCUACUGUAGUGGAAGAACGUCUCUGUCAUUUUCUGUAAUGAAAAAUCUGGUAACAUCUGCA
Homo sapiens (human) is the source of this 351-nucleotide long non-coding RNA. The record is from Ensembl. NCBI's taxonomy places the organism in Eukaryota, Metazoa, Chordata, Mammalia, Primates, Hominidae.